CGAACGGCGAGAGGAGGUUUACUUUCUCAAGCGAGUGGCGAACGGGUGAGUAACGCGUGAGGACCUGCCUCAAAGAGGGGGACAACAGUUGGAAACGACUGCUAAUACCGCAUAAGCCGGCAUCGGAAAAGGAGCAAUCCGCUUUGAGAUGGCCUCGCGUCCGAUUAGCUAGUUGGUGAGGUAAUGGCCCACCAAGGCGACGAUCGGUAGCCGGACUGAGAGGUUGAACGGCCACAUUGGGACUGAGACACGGCCCAGACUCCUACGGGAGGCAGCAGUGGGGAAUAUUGCACAAUGGGGGAAACCCUGAUGCAGCGACGCCGCGUGGAGGAAGAAGGUCUUCGGAUUGUAAACUCCUGUUGUUGAGGAAGAUAAUGACGGUACUCAACAAGGAAGUGACGGCUAACUACGUGCCAGCAGCCGCGGUAAAACGUAGGUCACAAGCGUUGUCCGGAAUUACUGGGUGUAAAGGGAGCGCAGGCGGGAAGACAAGUUGGAAGUGAAACCCAUGGGCUCAACCCAUGAACUGCUUUCAAAACUGUUUUUCUUGAGUAGUGCAGAGGUAGGCGGAAUUCCCGGUGUAGCGGUGGAAUGCGUAGAUAUCGGGAGGAACACCAGUGGCGAAGGCGGCCUACUGGGCACCAACUGACGCUGAGGCUCGAAAGUGUGGGUAGCAAACAGGAUUAGAUACCCUGGUAGUCCACACUGUAAACGAUGAUUACUA
RNAcentral lists this ribosomal RNA (724 nucleotides) under uncultured bacterium. RNAcentral's name for it is "bacterial SSU rRNA". It matches the Rfam family "Bacterial small subunit ribosomal RNA", at positions 63 to 818 of the family's 1533-position model. The record is from RNAcentral.